This 289-nucleotide ribosomal RNA is filed under the name uncultured bacterium. Its description in RNAcentral is "partial 16S ribosomal RNA". It matches the Rfam family "Bacterial small subunit ribosomal RNA", at positions 28 to 318 of the family's 1533-position model. The record is from RNAcentral.
GACGAACGCUGGCGGCGUGCUUAACACAUGCAAGUCGAGCGGUAAGGCCCUCGGGUACGACGAGCGGCGAACGGGUGAGUAACACGUGGGUGACCUGCCUUUAGCUCUGGGAUAAGACCUGGGAAACUGGGUCGUAAUACCGGAUAUGACCUCAUGACGCAUGUUGUGGGGUGGAAAGCCUUGUGCGGCUAGAGAUGGGCCCGCGGCCUAUCAGCUUGUUGGUGGGGUGANGGUCCUACCAAGGCGACGACGGGUAGCCGGCCUGAGAGGGCGACCGGCCACACUGGGA